UGUGGUGGAGAGGAGACAGGGAAGCCAAGGAGCAAUGGGCAGUGGCUCCUGAAGCCAGGAGCUGUCACCACAGUGGGGCACUUUUAACUUGAGGCACCAAGUCCCACUUCUGAGGGCGCUUACACCCACCUAACACCACGUGGGUUGGUCUGCAGGUCUGGGUACCGUGGUCACUCCACUGGAUCUCCGCCCCAGGAGGUCGACAUUUCCCAGCCCAGCCACAAGCUGAAGUUCCAGAGCUGAGACAAGGAAGAUGAGGGAAGGCAGCUGGGAGAGGCCUGCGACUGAGAGGCCCUCCUUACUCAUCCCUACCCCAGCCCCUCUCACUCACCCCUACUGGAAGCCUCUUCACUAAGCCUACAGCGCCUCCCCAUUCUUGGUGCCCACAGAGUCCAGAGUCCUCGGAGGCUCUCAGUCACUACUGUGAUCCCAAGAAGGCACUGAGAUGUCACCACAAGGAGCUGCCCAGCCCUGGCCAUCACCCCUGGGGAAACAGGCUGGAACUGGACUCCUGCAAGUCACUAAUUCCCUGACUCAAGAUCUUUUGGACUAGAUUGAGCAUCCAGCCUGUGCUAGCCCUUGAGGCCAGGGAGGCUUUAACGAUGUGAACACUGCACAGGCCUUCCAGAACAUGCCUCCAGCAGAACCCCAGCAGCACAUCCAGCAGCUCUGCCCGACCGGGUCUGGAUGUGGACCAAUCAGCUGCAGCCAAGAGGCAGGAUCAGCGAUUCAGCCCUGUGGACAGAGGGACCAGAGCCUUUGGAUCCUCCUCUGCUUCCUGGUCCUCCUCCAGGCCCUGCUUAAUUAAAGCUGGUUCUCCUCUCU
Rattus norvegicus (Norway rat) is the source of this 825-nucleotide long non-coding RNA. RefSeq lists it as uncharacterized. Lineage: Eukaryota; Metazoa; Chordata; Mammalia; Rodentia; Muridae. The record is from RefSeq and is a predicted model, not a curated record.